ACGUGCACGGCGAGAACAUGAAAAAAUCAAAAGCCAUGUUCUGCAUACCAAUUGGGACAACGCCUGCGACGAGAACGAGAAAGAGAAAGAUCGAAGGAAUGUAUUAACCCAAGACAACCUUCUUUAACACCAAAUUGGCCUCCUCCUACAACUCCAUGUAGAAAUGUUGGUGUGGUCAUCCGUGAUGAGCACGACCUUAAUGUUAUCCGUGUUCGUGCGGCAAAAGAUAAAGAAAAGGUCAACCCAAUGUCUAAAGGAAAAGAAAAGAUGGCUCAUUCCGGCAAGAGAAUGACAAAUGCAUU
Camellia sinensis is the source of this 302-nucleotide non-coding RNA. The record is from RefSeq and is a predicted model, not a curated record. Lineage: Eukaryota; Viridiplantae; Streptophyta; Magnoliopsida; Ericales; Theaceae.